This 1829-nucleotide ribosomal RNA is filed under the name Listeria monocytogenes. Its description in RNAcentral is "bacterial LSU rRNA". It matches the Rfam family "Bacterial large subunit ribosomal RNA", at positions 1101 to 2925 of the family's 2925-position model. The record is from RNAcentral. Lineage: Bacteria; Bacillati; Bacillota; Bacilli; Caryophanales; Listeriaceae.
UUGGCUUAGAAGCAGCCACCAUUGAAAGAGUGCGUAAUAGCUCACUGGUCGAGUGACCCCGCGCCGAAAAUGUACCGGGGCUAAACAUAUUACCGAAACUGUGGAUGAACCUCUUUAGAGGUUCGUGGUAGGAGAGCGUUCUAAGGGCGGUGAAGUCAGACCGGAAGGACUGGUGGAGCGCUUAGAAGUGAGAAUGCCGGUAUGAGUAGCGAAAGAAGGGUGAGAAUCCCUUCCACCGAAUAUCUAAGGUUUCCUGAGGAAGGCUCGUCCGCUCAGGGUUAGUCGGGACCUAAGCCGAGGCCGAUAGGCGUAGGCGAUGGACAACAGGUAGAGAUUCCUGUACCAGUGCUAAUUGUUUAACCGAUGGGGUGACACAGAAGGAUAGGGAAUCGCACGAAUGGAAAUGUGCGUCCAAGCAGUGAGUGUGAGAAGUAGGCAAAUCCGCUUCUCGCGAAGCAUGAGCUGUGAUGGGGAAGGAAAUUAAGUACGGAAGUUCCUGAUUUCACGCUGUCAAGAAAAGCCUCUAGGAAGAGUAGUACUGCCCGUACCGCAAACCGACACAGGUAGAUGAGGAGAGAAUCCUAAGGUGAGCGAGAGAACUCUCGUUAAGGAACUCGGCAAAAUGACCCCGUAACUUCGGGAGAAGGGGUGCUCUAUUAGGGUGCAAGCCCGAGAGAGCCGCAGUGAAUAGGCCCAGGCGACUGUUUAGCAAAAACACAGGUCUCUGCAAAACCGUAAGGUGACGUAUAGGGGCUGACGCCUGCCCGGUGCUGGAAGGUUAAGAGGAGUGCUUAGCUUCGGCGAAGGUACGAAUUGAAGCCCCAGUAAACGGCGGCCGUAACUAUAACGGUCCUAAGGUAGCGAAAUUCCUUGUCGGGUAAGUUCCGACCCGCACGAAAGGCGCAACGAUCUGGGCACUGUCUCAACGAGAGACUCGGUGAAAUUAUAGUACCUGUGAAGAUGCAGGUUACCCGCGACAGGACGGAAAGACCCCGUGGAGCUUUACUGCAACCUGAUAUGGAAUGUUUGUACCGCUUGUACAGGAUAGGUAGGAGCCGAAGAGACGUGUGCGCUAGCAUACGAGGAGGCAAUGGUGGGAUACUACCCUGGCUGUAUGACCAUUCUAACCCGCCACGCUUAGCGCGUGGGGAGACAGUGUCAGGUGGGCAGUUUGACUGGGGCGGUCGCCUCCUAAAGAGUAACGGAGGCGCCCAAAGGUUCCCUCAGAAUGGAUGGAAAUCAUUCGCAGAGUGUAAAGGCACAAGGGAGCUUGACUGCGAGACUGACAAGUCGAGCAGGGACGAAAGUCGGGCUUAGUGAUCCGGUGGUUCCGCAUGGAAGGGCCAUCGCUCAACGGAUAAAAGCUACCCCGGGGAUAACAGGCUUAUCUCCCCCAAGAGUCCACAUCGACGGGGAGGUUUGGCACCUCGAUGUCGGCUCGUCGCAUCCUGGGGCUGUAGUCGGUCCCAAGGGUUGGGCUGUUCGCCCAUUAAAGCGGCACGCGAGCUGGGUUCAGAACGUCGUGAGACAGUUCGGUCCCUAUCCGUCGCGGGCGCAGGAAAUUUGAGAGGAGCUGUCCUUAGUACGAGAGGACCGGGAUGGACACACCGCUGGUGUACCAGUUGUUCCGCCAGGAGCAUCGCUGGGUAGCUAUGUGUGGCAGGGAUAAACGCUGAAAGCAUCUAAGCGUGAAGCCCCCCUCAAGAUGAGAUUUCCCAUUUCUUCGGAAAGUAAGAUCCCUGAAAGAUGAUCAGGUAGAUAGGUUUGGAGUGGAAGUGUAGCGAUACAUGGAGCGGACAAAUACUAAUCGAUCGAGGACUUAACCAAAA